CCUACGGGGGGCUGCAGUGGGGAAUAUUGCACAAUGGGCGCAAGCCUGAUGCAGCAACGCCGCGUGCGGGAUGACGGCCUUCGGGUUGUAAACCGCUUUCAGCAGGGACGAAGCGCAAGUGACGGUACCUGCAGAAGAAGCACCGGCUAACUACGUGCCAGCAGCCGCGGUGAUACGUAGGGUGCGAGCGUUGUCCGGAUUUAUUGGGCGUAAAGAGCUUGUAGGCGGUUAGUCGCGUCGUAAGUGCAAACUCAGGGCUUAACCCUGAGCCUGCUUUCGAUACGGGCUGACUAGAGGAAGGUAGGGGAGAAUGGAAUUCCCGGUGGAGCGGUGGAAUGCGCAGAUAUCGGGAGGAACACCAGUGGCGAAGGCGGUUCUCUGGACCUUUCCUGACGCUGAGAAGCGAAAGCGUGGGGAGCAAACAGGCUUAGAUACCCCAGUAGUC
Molecule: ribosomal RNA, 445 nt
Filed under: uncultured Propionibacteriaceae bacterium
Lineage: Bacteria; Bacillati; Actinomycetota; Actinomycetes; Propionibacteriales; Propionibacteriaceae
Description: bacterial SSU rRNA
Rfam family: Bacterial small subunit ribosomal RNA
Source: RNAcentral